GGCGCACACGUUUUCUGAAAUGCGUCACUGCUUGUUCUGAAUACACACACAAAAUAAAAAAACAAGAGAAGAAGCAGAAGGCUACCACAAGAAACUCUGUUUACGUGAGAGGCAUAGACGGAAAGCGCGACGCUUAUGUCACGGAUCAUUGAAAUCGUGCGGCAAUCCCGAGCCACUUUUCCUUGGUCGAACGAGAUGGGAUGGUCAUUACGGAAACUAUCAGGGUAGGCAGUAACAAUGGGCGCAUGUCCAAGCCGUGCGCCGUUCCAAACGUAUAAGAAGACUGGCAACUCCACACAAAGGAGAAAACAGUUUCACCCACAGCGAUUGUAAGAAGUCACUGCCGACAGUGUCAUGAAGAUUUUCUUAGUGAUAACUAUGUUCCUGGCUGGUCUACUUCUUGCCCACGCACAAAGUAGACCACGCAGUCGAUACGAUCGCGGAGGAGGCUAUUUAUUCCCUCGAAGAGAUGUAGUCUCUGCUGCUGCAAGCUUUGGAUUUCCCGGACGCAGCGGAUACAACCGUUGACUGCGCAAUCGGCUACAUAGAAGCAUGCAGCGUCACCCUGCUUGGUAACUUCAGGAUGCACCUCAGCGUAUCGAAAAGAAUCAAUAAACGAUGAUACAGGUAGA
Molecule: long non-coding RNA, 632 nt
Filed under: Dermacentor andersoni
Lineage: Eukaryota; Metazoa; Arthropoda; Arachnida; Ixodida; Ixodidae
Description: uncharacterized LOC126532375
Source: RNAcentral